GAGAGAGACAUGCGCGCAUAUCAAUAAGCGGAGGAAAAGAAACUAACAAGGAUUCCCCUAGUAACGGCGAGUGAAGCGGGAAGAGCUCAAAUUUGAAAUCUUAAAGGGUUUCCCUUUACGAAUUGUAGUUUAAAGAAGUGUUUUCUGUUGAGGUUUUGGUAAAAGUUCUUUGGAAUAGGACAUCAUAGAGGGUGAGAAUCCCGUAUUUGACCUUUACUUUCAACUUUGUGAUACACUUUCGAAGAGUCGGAUUGUUUGGGAAUGCAGUCCAAAAUGGGUGGUAAAUUUCAUCUAAAGCUAAAUAUUGGCGAGAGACCGAUAGCGAACAAGUACCGUGAGGGAAAGAUGAAAAGAACUUUGAAAAGAGAGUUAAACAGUACGUGAAAUUGUCAAAAGGGAAGCGUUUGACACCAGUGUUGUUUUUCUGAAAAUCAAUUAAAGAACUGUUUAUGCUAAGUUGUUUAGACUUUAUCAGCUAACUGUUUAGUUUUGAGCUUUUCUUUAAUGCACUUUUCAGUUAACAAGUCAACAUCAAUUUCUCUUGCUGUAAAAAAGCUUGAGGAAGGUGGCUUGAGAUUCGUCUUAAGUGUUUAUAGCCUCUUGCUUAUGCAGUCGGAGAGAUUGAGGUCUGCAGCGUAGAUCCUUCGGGGCUAAAUGCAUUUGUGCUAAGUUAUAGCAUUUUAUAGACAACUUGUUGACUAUGAUUUGUCUUGUAGCUUACUCGCUUAUGUUAUUUUACCUACGCUUAGGAUGUUGAGCGCAUGUCUCUCUCU
Molecule: ribosomal RNA, 773 nt
Filed under: uncultured Neocallimastigales
Lineage: Eukaryota; Fungi; Neocallimastigomycota; Neocallimastigomycetes; Neocallimastigales
Description: partial large subunit ribosomal RNA
Rfam family: Eukaryotic large subunit ribosomal RNA
Source: RNAcentral